AUUGAACGCUGGCGGAAUGCUUUACACAUGCAAGUCGAAUGGCAGCACGGACUUCGGUCUGGUGGCGAGUGGCGAACGGGUGAGUAAUACAUCGGAACGUGCCCAGUCGUGGGGGAUAACGUAGCGAAAGCUACGCUAAUACCGCAUACGAUCUAAGGAUGAAAGCGGGGGAUCGCAAGACCUCGCGCGAUUGGAGCGGCCGAUGGCAGAUUAGGUAGGUGGUGGGGUAAAGGCUCACCAAGCCGACGAUCUGUAGCUGGUCUGAGAGGACGACCAGCCACACUGGGACUGAGACACGGCCCAGACUCCUACGGGAGGCAGCAGUGGGGAAUUUUGGACAAUGGGCGCAAGCCUGAUCCAGCCAUUCCGCGUGCAGGAUGAAGGCCCUCGGGUUGUAAACUGCUUUUGUACGGAACGAAAAGGCUCUGGUUAAUACCUGGGGCUCAUGACGGUACCGUAAGAAUAAGCACCGGCUAACUACGUGCCAGCCGCCGCGGUAA
RNAcentral lists this ribosomal RNA (500 nucleotides) under uncultured bacterium. RNAcentral's name for it is "partial 16S ribosomal RNA". It matches the Rfam family "Bacterial small subunit ribosomal RNA", at positions 30 to 523 of the family's 1533-position model. The record is from RNAcentral.